Molecule: ribosomal RNA, 443 nt
Filed under: uncultured bacterium
Lineage: Bacteria
Description: partial 16S ribosomal RNA
Rfam family: Bacterial small subunit ribosomal RNA
Source: RNAcentral
CCUACGUGAGGCAGCAGUGGGGAAUAUUGGGCAAUGGGCGCAAGCCUGACCCAGCAACGCCGCGUGAAGGAAGAAGGCUUUCGGGUUGUAAACUUCUUUUCUCAGGGACGAAGCAAGUGACGGUACCUGAGGAAUAAGCCUCGGCUAACUACGUGCCAGCAGCCGCGGUACUACGUAGGUGGCAAGCGUUAUCCGGCUGUACUGGGUGUAAAGGGCGUGUAGGCGGGGAAGCAAGUCAGAUGUGAAAACCACGGGCUCAACCUGUGGCCUGCAUUUGACACUGUUUUUCUUGAGUACUGGAGAGGCAGACGGAAUUCCUAGUGUAGCGGUGAAAUGCGUAGAUAUUAGGAGGAACACCAGUGGCGAAGGCGGUCUGCUGGACAGCAACUGACGCUGAGGCGCGAAAGCGUGGGGAGCAAACAGGAUUAGAUACCCCAGUAGUC